AUUGAACGCUGGCGGCAUGCCUUACACAUGCAAGUCGAACGGCAGCACGGGUGCUUGCACCUGGUGGCGAGUGGCGAACGGGUGAGUAAUGCAUCGGAACGUACCCGGAAGUGGGGGAUAACGUAGCGAAAGUUACGCUAAUACCGCAUAUUCUGUGAGCAGGAAAGAGGGGGAUCGCAAGACCUCUCGCUUUCGGAGCGGCCGAUGUCGGAUUAGCUAGUUGGCGGGGUAAAGGCCCACCAAGGCGACGAUCCGUAGCGGGUCUGAGAGGAUGAUCCGCCACACUGGGACUGAGACACGGCCCAGACUCCUACGGGAGGCAGCAGUGGGGAAUUUUGGACAAUGGGCGCAAGCCUGAUCCAGCCAUGCCGCGUGAGUGAAGAAGGCCUUCGGGUUGUAAAGCUCUUUUGUCUAGGGAAGAAAUAGCUCUGGGCUAAGUACCCUGGGUGAUGACGGUACCUGAAGAAUAAGACACCGGCUAACUACGUGCCAGCACG
This 497-nucleotide ribosomal RNA is filed under the name uncultured bacterium. Its description in RNAcentral is "bacterial SSU rRNA". It matches the Rfam family "Bacterial small subunit ribosomal RNA", at positions 30 to 515 of the family's 1533-position model. The record is from RNAcentral.